RNAcentral lists this ribosomal RNA (891 nucleotides) under uncultured Ascomycota. RNAcentral's name for it is "eukaryotic LSU rRNA". It matches the Rfam family "Eukaryotic large subunit ribosomal RNA", at positions 1 to 905 of the family's 3401-position model. Lineage: Eukaryota; Fungi; Ascomycota. The record is from RNAcentral.
UCUUUGACCUCGGAUCAGGUAGGGAUACCCGCUGAACUUAAGCAUAUCAAUAAGCGGAGGAAAAGAAACCAACAGGGAUUGCCCUAGUAACGGCGAGUGAAGCGGCAACAGCUCAAAUUUGAAAUCUGGCUCUCUUUGGGAGUCCGAGUUGUAAUUUGCAGAGGAUGCUUUGGCAUUGGCGGCGGUCUAAGUUCCUUGGAACAGGACAUCACAGAGGGUGAGAAUCCCGUACGUGGUCGCCUGCCUUUGCCGUGUAAAGCUCCUUCGACGAGUCGAGUUGUUUGGGAAUGCAGCUCUAAAUGGGAGGUAAAUUUCUUCUAAAGCUAAAUACUGGCCAGAGACCGAUAGCGCACAAGUAGAGUGAUCGAAAGAUGAAAAGUACUUUGGAAAGAGAGUCAAAAAGCACGUGAAAUUGUUGAAAGGGAAGCGCUUGCAGCCAGACUUGCCCGCAGUUGCUCACCUAGGCGUUGGCCUGGGGCACUCUUCUGCGGGCAGGCCAGCAUCAGUUUGGGCGGUUGGAUAAAGGCCUCUGUCACGUAUCUCCCUUCGGGGAGACCUUAUAGGGGAGGCGUAAUGCAACCAGCCCGGACUGAGGUCCGCGCAUCUGCUAGGAUGCUGGCGUAAUGGCUGUAAGCGGCCCGUCUUGAAACACGGACCAAGGAGUCUAACAUCUAUGCGAGUGUUUGGGUGUCAAGCCCGAGCGCGCAAUGAAAGUGAACGGAGGUGGGAACCCUUUGGGUGCACCAUCGACCGAUCCUGAUGUCUUCGGAUGGAUUUGAGUAAGAGCAUAGCUGUUGGGACCCGAAAGAUGGUGAACUAUGCUUGAAUAGGGUGAAGCCAGAGGAAACUCUGGUGGAGGCUCGCAGCGGUUCUGACGUGCAAAUCGAUCGU